This 529-nucleotide ribosomal RNA is filed under the name Bifidobacterium pseudocatenulatum. RNAcentral's name for it is "bacterial SSU rRNA". It matches the Rfam family "Bacterial small subunit ribosomal RNA", at positions 158 to 699 of the family's 1533-position model. Lineage: Bacteria; Bacillati; Actinomycetota; Actinomycetes; Bifidobacteriales; Bifidobacteriaceae. The record is from RNAcentral.
GGGUGGUAAUGCCGGAUGCUCCGACUCCUCGCAUGGGGUGUCGGGAAAGAUUUCAUCGGUAUGGGAUGGGGUCGCGUCCUAUCAGGUAGUCGGCGGGGUAACGGCCCACCGAGCCUACGACGGGUAGCCGGCCUGAGAGGGCGACCGGCCACAUUGGGACUGAGAUACGGCCCAGACUCCUACGGGAGGCAGCAGUGGGGAAUAUUGCACAAUGGGCGCAAGCCUGAUGCAGCGACGCCGCGUGCGGGAUGACGGCCUUCGGGUUGUAAACCGCUUUUGAUCGGGAGCAAGCCUUCGGGUGAGUGUACCUUUCGAAUAAGCACCGGCUAACUACGUGCCAGCAGCCGCGGUAAUACGUAGGGUGCAAGCGUUAUCCGGAAUUAUUGGGCGUAAAGGGCUCGUAGGCGGUUCGUCGCGUCCGGUGUGAAAGUCCAUCGCUUAACGGUGGAUCUGCGCCGGGUACGGGCGGGCUGGAGUGCGGUAGGGGAGACUGGAAUUCCCGGUGUAACGGUGGAAUGUGUAGAUAUCG